GAGGGUGCAGCUCAGGGGUAGAGCACAUGUCUAGCACGCAUGAGGUCCUGGGUUCAAUCCCCUGUACCGCCA
RNAcentral lists this transfer RNA (72 nucleotides) under Camelus bactrianus (Bactrian camel). It matches the Rfam family "tRNA". From Rfam's summary of the family: Transfer RNA (tRNA) molecules are approximately 80 nucleotides in length. Their secondary structure includes four short double-helical elements and three loops (D, anti-codon, and T loops). RNAcentral also lists the same sequence under 1 other name. Lineage: Eukaryota; Metazoa; Chordata; Mammalia; Artiodactyla; Camelidae. The record is from Rfam by way of RNAcentral.